Brassica oleracea var. oleracea is the source of this 676-nucleotide long non-coding RNA. RefSeq lists it as uncharacterized. NCBI's taxonomy places the organism in Eukaryota, Viridiplantae, Streptophyta, Magnoliopsida, Brassicales, Brassicaceae. The record is from RefSeq and is a predicted model, not a curated record. The transcript has 2 exons.
CAUGUUCAUUUUUUAAAAAAAUUUCUUGUACUCUUCCAUUCAGAUAUCUAUCUCGAUCAACAGCGCUUCCACGGUUUGCUCAAGUGUGAAGCUAGAGAACAUAAGGAAGAGCUCCAAAGGCGUCAUUAUGCUCAAGUACGUUACGUGGGAAGUGAAAAGAGGAGAGAGAGCAGGGUUAGUAAGCUUUAGCGGAGCGGGGGAAAACGACCCAGCUCAGGAUCAUCAAGAACCCGAUUCCGGUUACGUUGUCAAGGCCAACCCAAUAUGAAAGUCACUUUCUUGAGCCAAGAGUUCGAGGUUUCCAUGAGCAGGACUGUGAAGGAAGAGUUCAUGGGUGCUUUCAAGGAAGAGAUGGAGAUAACCAAGAAGCUGGAGAAAAUUCAGAAGGUUAUUGAAGGCUCUGUAUAUGGGAAGGUCCUUAGACGAGUUUGAUAUGUUGCAGAGAAGAUUUCAAGCUGUGAACUUAGACAUGGUCUAAGUUAAAGUUAGUAAGCUGAUACCGGGGUUAGGGUUUCUACCAGAGGAUGCUGAUAGGCUUGUGGCUUCGUUUAGCGGUGGAUGGCAAAUGAGAAUGUCACUCAGAAAUAUUCAGCUUCAGGAUCCAGAAUUGCUGCUACUUGAUGAGCCUACAAACCAUUUGGAUCUUGAUACUAUUGAAUGGCUUGAAGGCUAUUUU